Molecule: ribosomal RNA, 249 nt
Filed under: uncultured Actinomycetales bacterium
Lineage: Bacteria; Bacillati; Actinomycetota; Actinomycetes; Actinomycetales
Description: partial 16S ribosomal RNA
Rfam family: Bacterial small subunit ribosomal RNA
Source: RNAcentral
UGGGGAAUAUUGCGCAAUGGGCGAAAGCCUGACACAGCAACGCCGCGUGAGGGAUGACGGCCUUCGGGUUGUAAACCUCUUUCAGCAGGGACGAAGCGAAAGUGACUGUACCUGCAGAAGAAGCGCCGGCUAACUACGUGCCAGCAGCCGCGGUAAUACGUAGGGCGCAAGCGUUGUCCGGAUUUAUUGGGCGUAAAGAGUUCGUAGGCGGUCUGUCGCGUCGGACGUGAAAACCCGGAGCUCAACUCC